UACAGAGGUCUCGAGCGUUAGGCGGAAUCACUGGGCUUAAAGCGUGUGUAGGUGGAUUUGUAAGUACCUUGUGAAAUCCCAUGGCUCAACCAUGGAACUGCUCGGUAUACUGCGAAUCUUGAGCCACUUAGGGGCUACCGGAACAAAUGGUGGAGCGGUGAAAUGCGUAGAUAUCAUUUGGAACGCCAAUGGUGAAAACAGGUAGCUGGGAGUGUGCUGACACUGAGACACGAAAGCCAGGGGAGCGAACGGG
This 253-nucleotide ribosomal RNA is filed under the name uncultured bacterium. RNAcentral describes it as "partial 16S ribosomal RNA". It matches the Rfam family "Bacterial small subunit ribosomal RNA", at positions 524 to 776 of the family's 1533-position model. The record is from RNAcentral.